GGCGGUUCUCGGGUGACCACCCCGGAAUUGGGCUCCUUCCUCUCUGGUUCCGGGUGCGUCACACGAAACCACA
Myotis brandtii (Brandt's bat) is the source of this 73-nucleotide non-coding RNA. The record is from Rfam. NCBI's taxonomy places the organism in Eukaryota, Metazoa, Chordata, Mammalia, Chiroptera, Vespertilionidae.